Dicentrarchus labrax (European seabass) is the source of this 1085-nucleotide long non-coding RNA. RefSeq lists it as uncharacterized. The record is from RefSeq and is a predicted model, not a curated record. Lineage: Eukaryota; Metazoa; Chordata; Actinopteri; Moronidae. The transcript is spliced from 2 exons.
AUAUUAGAAGAAUUUGACACAUCCAAUCACAAACAGAUGCAGAAAAACUAAUCCAUGCAUUUGUUAAUUCAAGGCUGGAUUACUGCAACUCUUUAUUAUCAGGUUGCCCCAAUAAGUCCAUUAAAACGCUCCAAUUAAUUCAGAACGCUGCAGCACGAGUACUUACAGGAACUAGAAAAAGAGAUCACAUCUCUCCUGUACUAGCUUCUCUGCAUUGGCUCCCUGUAAAAUGUAGAAUUGAAUUUAAAAUCCUCCUCCUCACCUAUAAAGCUCUUCAUGGUCAGGCCCCUUCAUAUAUUAAAGAGCUCAUAGUACCCUAUUACCCCUCUAGAACACUAUGUUCUCUGAAUGCUGGGCUACUUGUGGUUCCUAUAGUCUCUAAAAGUAGAACAGGAGCCAGAGCCUUCAGUUACCAAGCUCCUCUCCUGUGGAACCAGCUUCCAGUUGUGGUUCGGGAGGCAGACACCCUAACCACAUUCAAGAGUAGGCUUAAGACAUUCCUCUUUGAUAAAGCUUAUAGUUAGGGCUGGAUCAGGUGAGUCCUGAACCAUCCCUUAGUUAUGCUGCUAUAGGCCUAGACUAUCGGGGGAUUUCCCAUGGUGCACUGAGCUACUCUCUUCCUCUCUCUUUCUGCACUCAUUCAUGUCCCUUUCAUGCAUGUUACUAACUCCACUUCUUCCCCGGAGUUCUUGUGCUUUCUCGUCUCGCAGGUUCUCAUGGAUCCUGGUGGAGCCUCCUGCCAUGGUCCUGCUUGACUGCCAUUGCCAAUACUGUUGUUGCUGUGCACCUGUCUGUCUGUCUGUCUGUCUGUCUCUCUCUCUCUCUCUCUCUCUCUCUCUCUCUCUCUCACCCCAACUGGUCGAGACAGACGACCACCCACCUAGAGCCGGAGGAUCUGUCCUAGGUUUCUGCCUUUUAACAGGCAGUUUUUCCUUGCCCUUGUCGCCAAGUGCUUGCUCAUGGUGGUACUGUUGGGUCUCUGUAAUUAAUGUUAAAGAGUUCGGUCUAGACCUGCUCUAUUUGAAAAGUGUCCUGAGAUAACUUCUGUUAUGAAUUGGCGCUAUACAAAUAAAAUUGAAUUGAAU